AAAUGCAAAAUGAACAACAGAAGCCUGCUGCUGAAAGAAAGACUUUCAUCUCGUUUUUUUUUGGAGAGUCUGUGGUCUGAGAAGGUCUGAGCUGCCAAUUCACCAGUGGGACAUCCUUCCUGCACUGAUGCCCAAGGCACAAACAACAGGCCUGCAUGUUGUCAUGGCAACCCCAGGCCUGCUGCCCCCCCACCUCCACCUCCUGCCUCCUCACCCAGAGUGCUGCAACCCAUCAAUUAAUAACCUAAUAAUGUAUGACAACAGUCACUCCAAACACCCAGGCAGCAGUCCUCUUGAAAAACAAACAGACUUCUCCAGAGAACUGAGCGCCACAGAGAUGUUCAUUAACUCAGCCUGGGCUACCUGCUAAAAUCUAGCUGUCUGAAUCCAAAUUACUCUCUCCCUAGCAUCUCCCUCUUGUUGUAAAGGCUUGGGGUUGGCAGAGCUGAGGACUGAAGCCUCACAGGUUCCAGGGAAACAGACACUAGAGAAGCUACCAUGUAGGAUGCCUGCCCCCUCAGCCCUGAAGCACACAAAGAAACUGAUCCUGACCCAAAAGGAUAUUUGUAUCUCUGCUGGUCUUUUCCAGAAACCUUACAUCCUUUGCAAGGAUGAAUUAGUUACCAUGGCACCCAGAAAAAAAGCAAAAGGGAAGCAAAAGCAAAAGGGAAGAUUUUCAAGUUUUGGAAGAUUCAAGAUGGUUGGAAGUGUUCAAUACUCUUCUCAUUGAGAGGUGCCCUGCUGAAAGGAAGCCCAAGAGAGGCCCACAUUGAAAGAAACCAAAAUCCUGGCUGACAGCCCCAGCUGAAGCCACGAUCCACUGCUCACCACAAGGUUGUGAUCUUGGAAGAGGAUCCACCAGCCCCCACUCGGCCAUCUCAGCUGAUGUUGCAAGGAGCAGAGAUAAGCCAUUGCCACCCAGCCCUACCCAAAUCACAGAUUCAUGAGCAAAACAGAUGAGUACUAUUAUUUCAAGCCAGUGUCUUCUGAAGUGCUUUGUAAUGCAGCAGUCGGUAACUGGGACAGGCCCAGCCACAGCAAGUGACCUGCCCGAAGCCACACAGCCUCUAGCUCCGUCAGCGCUCUCUCCUUUGCCCAUUGCUGAAUCCCAAAGAGACUUCCCGUGCCUUUCGCCAUCGGGUCACUCUUCUCCAGCUUGAGGAUGACCUGGGUCCACUCGAUUGCCAGACGCGGGGAAAGAAGGGGGCGGCCAACUAGCGACCCCACCGGGCGCUCCUGCGGACAAGCACAGGCCAGCUUUGUCCUCCCUCGCUGGGGGUGGGGGUUGGGGGGGUGCUUGUUGGGCUCUGGGGAGCCCUUCGCCUAAGAGGAACCAAGCAGAUUUGCGGGAAGGAAAGGAAAUCUUUGGGGCACCCGUGUUGCCGAGCUCUAGGAAAUGAAAGGUUAGCUGUCUCACUCUUUUUUUUUUUUUUUUUUGGUAAGUAAUGACCAGGUUGUCAUGGAGUCAGCUGAGGGGGUGGCUGCUAAACCAGGCGACAACCGCAGCGGAGACACCCCACCCAAAUGGGGGACGGACGCGCUGGAGCUUGGGGGCAGACACAUGCUGGGCCUGGGUGCUGCCGCUUCCUGCACUUUGCCGCCCCGCCCCGGGCGCGCACACUUGGGGGCCACGUGCCUACACCCUCACAGCGCACUCGCGGUUUCCCGGGUUUGCUGCACCGGGGCCCCGAGACCGUGGCGAGCGAAAGAGGACGGGGAGAGGAGGAGACGUCCUGCGCGGCGAGGGGCCGGCCGCCCGCGCCUUCUCCUACGGCGGCGCUCGGCAGGCGGGGUGGGCACUGCGUCCUGGGCUGCUGGCAGAGGGGGCCGGGGGCGCGGGCAGGUCCAUUUCCCAGCCAGGCCCUCCUCCUCGGACCACCCGGCCACGUUGUGCUCCGAUUUCCAACUCCCACCCCCGCCACGCCCCUGUCUGACACAACCAGCCCUGCCCUUCCGCACCCUGCCUUUCACCCUGACCACAUGCCACGGACGAGGCGCCAGCCAGGAAGAAUCGCGGUGGCACAGCCACCUGGAGGUAUAGUACUCCCCACCCCCAACUACCUGCUGUCCCCAGGGUGGGCUCAGACUGGGCCUGGCUGCAAAAGGAGGAGGGUCGUUCUCCAGCCACAUCCAGACCCGCUUCUAGGUAAGAAGCUGGGAGGAGUCCCUGAAGCGAUCUGUCCAUACAGGUCAUCUCAGUGUCCCCAGUGUCACCACAUCAGGAGCCCGCAGUAAAGGCAGCGUCCCACUGCUGCUCAGGCCUGUCUCCACCUCUGCCACCUCAGGAGGCUGCAGUUGGCUGCCUCCUGGGUCCCUAGUGCUUCCCCAGGCCCGACUGUGCCGCAGGCAGCGGUGGCCAAGAGCGGCACGGGGCACCUCCUCCUGGUUUUGUUGAGAAUUCAAGGAGGCCUGAGGGUCCCUCUGCCCCACGGGCUCACAGAUAACAGUAACAAUAGUCACAGCUCCCAGUUUUUGAGUACUUUGGGCCAGGCACCACGUAUAAGCACUUAAAUGCAUAAACUCAUUUGAUCCUCGCCACUCUGUGCGGUCGAUAGUAGUAUUAUCCCCACCGCAUACGUGGGCAUGAGACACAGAGAACCAAUAACACGCCCAAAGUCACACAGGUAAUAAUAAGCAGAGGUUCGAACACUGAGGUUGGAACCCAGACAGGAGCCCACAGCCGUCCUCAGCACCUGCCUCCUGUCCGAAGCCACCCUUAGCUGUAUUCUCAGCACCUUCUGCUCUGUCUCAUCUGCCUACCUUAACUCCUAUGUCCCGCUCCACUCAAAACACCUCCUGGCCCCCAUCUCCUGAACUCCUGCCCCAGUUUUCACCUCCCCGGUCACCUCCUCUAUCGAACCGUCUUGUUUGUCCCAGGCAAUUUGGGCUGAGCCCCCUUGGUGCCCGGCUUUCUUUGCACGGCCCACUGAGGUCAUUGGCCCCCAGCUGUCCCCCUGCAUGGCCCUCCUUCCUGGCCGUGUGCCUGGCCCAGAACAGGGCUCCCCAUUCCUGCUUGUAAACGGAGUGUCUGGGACUGGUCACUGCCGGAGUCUGCAGAAGCUUUGUGUUUGGUUGCCAGGACAGAUUGUUGGGGGUUAGGGAUGGAGGGCAGCUGGAGUGCAGGCAGGGGAGAUAACGAGAGACAUGGAUGUCGCCUUUUCUGCUAACUCCUCUGGGUGGCUCGAAGCUCCACAGUUUGUGACUGGGCCCCUAGGUGAAUCUCUGGAAGGAAAUGGACAGCGGGCAAGACGUGAGAAGACACCCCGGCAGGGGAGGCAGAGGGAGCAGGGGGGUGGGAGACGCAGGGAAAUUUGCUUUUUCUGUUGGGCACAGGCCCAGCAACCUCCCAGCAGGCUCUUCUGUGAGGCUGGCUCUGCCUCUUCUGCUGGUCCUCAUUUUUAAAUUUCUCCUUCUUGCGAAAUCUUCACAUGUGGAGUUUUCUGGAUUAACUAUUCAUGCUAUAAAAAUGCACACAAUUUUUAAAAAUGGCCAGACUGAAAGUAGUUGUUAAGAGUUUGGGUUUGAAAGCCAGAGUGUCUGAGUUGGAAUCCCACCUGUUACCUACGAGUAGGGGAUCCUUAGACAAAUCCCUUAACCUCUCUGCGCCAGAUUCCUCGCGUGUGAAACGGGGACGUGGCUUCAAUAGGGACUUGAGAUAAUUACAUGAGUUCACAGCUCAACACCCAGCACAUAUUAGGGUUCAAUAGAAGUUGGCUGUUAUUAUUCUUGUUGUCCACUCCAAUAGCCUCUUAUAUGCAACUCUUACGUUUUGAAUGUUUACUGUGUUCUUAGUGCUUGUGUGUGAGGUCUUCUCAUCCCAAGUAGUUUUAGUAUUUCCCUUUCACGGGUCAGGAAACUGAGGUUCAGUGACUUGCUCCAGGCCAUUCAGUUCUCAGUUCUGAGUGCCUGAACCAGGACUUACAUGGAGUCCUGACUAUGAAGGUGCUUCUUGCAGCAAUUAUGCUCUGUCUCAUCCUAUCCCGCAGGAAAGAAGUGGGGUGUUUUAAAACCCAUCAUUAGUGGCGAGAUCCAGAAUUCUGCCUCUCAGGGGUACAGUCGUGCUGUGUAGAAUGCUUAUUACAAAGUGACUCCUGCCAGGGCUGUCACAUCACACAACCCAGGGGAGGGGGACACUGUACACAGUCCUUGGUGGCCUUGUCUCCCUGACUUUCUUUCUGUAGCCCACAGUCUCUGUGUACAGAGGUCCUAACAUACCUAGAACCUUUCACAGUCUAAAUACUCUUCAAUUAAAACAACCCUCCGUUUUUAUUUAUGCUGCAUUUUUUAGAGACAGAAUAGCAUGGCACCUAUACCAGUUACUUAAAGAUCCAGAAUUGGCCUGUGGAAUACAGGCCUGGCACCUCUGGUCAUGCUCUUGGAAGAAAGUGCUAAAUUUGGAGAAACAAAGAGAUUCGUUGCACAGUCGCCUUUUGGCCAGACGUUGCUGUGUUUCUUAGUGUCAGGAUAUUCAGUCCUUGGCAGGGGCAGCAGAAUUUAUUGUUUUGUAAACAAAACCUGGCAUUGGACUUAUAAACAACAAAGCUCACUGACUUAAAAUGAAGCAUGCAUUGUUUUCCAGAACCUUCCUGGACCUAGAGAAUGGUAAAUUAUGGCCCGUGCUCAUGGAUGAUGAGUUGAGACACUGCACUAAUAACUGUUUAUCUUGCCCACAAAAAUCACCUUCUGCAUUGGGCUGGAAUCCUAGGAUGUGAUCAGAAUUUCUCCACAGCCGGUACAGUGACACUGAUGUCCUUUCUUUCUUCCCAGUCUCUCGUGGGUUUCGGCGUUGGCACGCACAUAUUCCCAGUGUCAAGCCCAGGGAGGCAUACGGCAGGUGCUCAGAAAUGGCCGCCGAAGGAAUGAAUGAAAGAGGUUGUUGCACCCGGCAACAGAGUGUGUCGAGGGCUUUCUGUUACUGCCCGUCCAGAUCCACUCCUCAGCCUUCUCUAGUCUACUCUGUACUCUAUCGCUUGUAUCACGGGGUCCCAUGCCCUCUGGCUUCUGCUGGGUUUGGCCAAUGGAAGCACUAAGUGGGACCAGAAGGUGGAGGCGAGUGGGGUCGGGGGAGUAUUUAUCCACCCACCAGAGUGGCUUCAGGUUGGCUGCGUCCCUUUACUGAAGUCGUCAGUUCCUGUAACAGUCCCUCUCCUGCACUGCCCUCCCCUCUUCUACCUCCAGGCCCGGGGAUGGUAACAGCUCCUUGGAAAUGCUAGUCCCAGGGAGCCACAUGGAUCUGCGGACCUGGGCUGGUUCCCUGAACCCAAUCGAUACCCUCGAAAACCGUCCCUUUGUCAACCUCUCCUCAGUCACCCUGCCUGACUGUGCCUCUGUUUCCUGCCAAGACUCUGCCUGCUACAGGAGUGGAUGUAUCAGAUGGGUCUUCACUGCAAACUCAAUGGAACAAUGUGUGCAUAUUUCAGAAGGCACACAGGUGACCUACUUUAAAAAAUUACUGAUUUUUCAGUUCAGUCUUCCAGUUAGCGCAGCUGGCCAGCCUCAGAAGCAAUCAAUCACUCUUUAUCCCCCAAACAACAGAAGGAGUCCCUACUCCCUCACUCGGCUCUGGCGCUGGCUCUGGCUCCGGCUCUGGUUCAUCUCUCUCCCUGCUCAGCCCCAGGCCUCAUCCUGCAGAUGGUCUUGUGCUUCCUGUCCGUGAGCCUCCCAACUCCUCAUUCGGGUAGACAACUUUCCUUCUGAGAAAUACUCCCCAACGCACGGAGUCAACCCCCCCACCUGUCCAUCCCCUCCCCUGGCCAGUUUCAGGCAGCAAGAAGCUGGUUUUUCUGAGAAUCAUCUUUUCUGGCAUCAACCAGGCUUGGGCCUGAGUGAUUACUCAGACAAGAGUGACCUGAUUAACAAUGCGACGUUGUUUCCGCUCCCAUGACAAUCCGCGGCUCUCAGACAGAAUGGGACUAAUGAGGACACCCGAAGGCGGGAAACUCUGAGGCUGGUAUAGAGUCAGAUCAAGUCUAGGCGAAGCGUGAACACACACAUCUGGAGAGCCGGGGACCCCAUUUUGCCCGCCUGGCUGGACUUCAGAUUCCUGGAGGAGGCCUUCAGGCUGGGCUUGCUCAGGAUGUGGCAUCUGGGAGAGGGGGUAGUAUCCGAAUGUCUGGCUUCCUCCCAAAUCUAUCUCUGCUUGUUAGAGCUCUGGCAAGUUAUGCAGCCUCCCUUGGCCUCAGUUUCUUCUUCUUUAAAAUGGGGUUAUUAAUAUGAAGAUCGGUACAAGAAUGAAAUACAAAGAUGCUCUGAAGAAAUUGGGUUGACAGAGGAAAACCCAGAACCCAGCCUAGCCAGUGCAAAGGGCACAGGUUAUGCAGGGAAGGCAGGAAAGGUGGCUUGUUUGGCUGACUGAAAUAGGGGCCGGGCUGGGGCUGUUCAACCAGCCUUGACCAGCCUCUGCCUUGGCUUCCUGCUUAUGGAGAAUGGAUCAAAUCCUGGCUCUUUACACUGGCUAUGUGACCUUGGAAAGUUACAUAACCUCUCUGCCUCAGUUUCCUUAUCUGUGAAAUGGGGAUAUUAAUAGUACCGCAUAGGGUUGUUGUGAGUAUUCAAUGAGUUAGUAAGUAUAAAACUCUUAGAACUACUCGAGUGAAUGCUCAACAAAUGUUGGGGGCGGCCUCUUCAUCCAGUGCCUGUGGAAAGCUUGUGUGCUCCCCUCUUGCUCAAGUAUGCAGACUUCUGUGGUGGUGAGCUGGGGAACUGUGCUUUACUUUCUCCGAUGUAUAAGCUAUGCCUCGGGGCCGGCCCGGUGGCUCAGGCGGUUAGACCUCCAUGCUCCUAACUCCGAAGGCUACCGGUUCGAUUCCCACAUGGGCCAGUGGGCUCUCAACCACAGGUUGCCAGCUCAAUU
This is a long non-coding RNA of Rhinolophus ferrumequinum (greater horseshoe bat), 6853 nucleotides long. RefSeq lists it as uncharacterized. The transcript has 3 exons. Lineage: Eukaryota; Metazoa; Chordata; Mammalia; Chiroptera; Rhinolophidae. The record is from RefSeq and is a predicted model, not a curated record.